UUCAAACUGAAGGGUUUGAUCCUGGCUCAGAAUGAACGUUGGCGGCGUGGAUUAGGCAUGCAAGUCGCACGAGAAUCCAUUUCGGUGGAGGACAGUGGCGAAAGGGUGAGUAAUGCAUAGACAACCAACCUUCGACUCCAGGAUAACUGGGGGAAACCUCGGCUAAUACUGGAUAGGCUAGCCACCCCUGUGGGGAGGCUAGUAAAGGUGGCCACUUAGCAAUGCUUCUGGUUGAAGACGGGUCUAUGUCCUAUCAGCUUGUUGGUGAGGUAACGGCUCACCAAGGCCGCGAUCCGUAGCUGGUCUGAGAGGAUGAUCAGCCACAUCGGGACUGAGACACGGCCCGAACUCCUACGGG
RNAcentral lists this ribosomal RNA (358 nucleotides) under Planctomycetota bacterium. Its description in RNAcentral is "bacterial SSU rRNA". It matches the Rfam family "Bacterial small subunit ribosomal RNA", at positions 1 to 345 of the family's 1533-position model. The record is from RNAcentral. Lineage: Bacteria; Pseudomonadati; Planctomycetota.